This 83-nucleotide transfer RNA is filed under the name Lachnospiraceae bacterium. RNAcentral describes it as "tRNA-Leu". It matches the Rfam family "tRNA". From Rfam's summary of the family: Transfer RNA (tRNA) molecules are approximately 80 nucleotides in length. Lineage: Bacteria; Bacillati; Bacillota; Clostridia; Lachnospirales; Lachnospiraceae. RNAcentral also lists the same sequence under 1 other name. The record is from RNAcentral.
GCAGGAAUGGCGGAAUGGCAGACGCGCAGGCUUCAGGUGCCUGUUGUAGCAAUACAGUGAGGGUUCAAGUCCCUUUUCCUGCA